UACGUAGGGGGCUAGCGUUGUCCGGAAUCAUUGGGCGUAAAGAGCGCGUAGGCGGCCAGACAAGUCCGGUGUGAAAGUCACAGGCUCAACCUGUGAAUGCCGCUGGAAACUGUCUGGCUAGAGUCCGGAAGGGGCGAGUGGAAUUCCUGGUGUAGCGGUGAAAUGCGCAGAUAUCAGGAGGAACACCGGUGGCGAAGGCGACUUCCUGGCCUGUUCUUGACGCUGAGGCGCGAAAGCUAGGGUAGCAAACGGG
Molecule: ribosomal RNA, 253 nt
Filed under: uncultured bacterium
Lineage: Bacteria
Description: partial 16S ribosomal RNA
Rfam family: Bacterial small subunit ribosomal RNA
Source: RNAcentral